AGCAGCCGCGGUAAUUCCAGCUCCAAUAGCGUAUAUUAAAGUUGUUGCAGUUAAAAAGCUCGUAGUUGAAUUUCGGGAUCAAUCUAUCGGUCGUGCAAUAGUACGUACUGAUUUUAUUGAUUCCUACCUUCUGAUGAACUAUGAUGUCAUUAAUUUGGUGUCAUAGGGAAUCAGGACUGUUACUUUGAAAAAAUUAGAGUGUUUAAAGCAGGCUCACGCUUGAAUACAUUAGCAUGGAAUAACGGAAUAGGACGUUUGAUUCUAUUUUGUUGGUUUCUAGGAUCGACGUAAUGAUUAAUAGGGAUAGUUGGGGGCAUUAGUAUUCAAUUGUCAGAGGUGAAAUUCUUGGAUUUAUUGAAGACUAACUACUGCGAAAGCAUUUGCCAAGGAUGUUUUCAUUAAUCAAGAACGAAAGUUAGGGGAUCGAAGACGAUCAGAUACCGUCGUAGUCUUAACCAUAAACUAUGCCGACUAGGGAUCGGAUGAUGUAAUUUUUAAUGACUCAUUC
Molecule: small RNA, 508 nt
Filed under: uncultured Glomus
Lineage: Eukaryota; Fungi; Glomeromycota; Glomeromycetes; Glomerales; Glomeraceae
Description: SSU rRNA
Rfam family: Eukaryotic small subunit ribosomal RNA
Source: RNAcentral